AUUGAACGCUGGCGGCAGGCCUAACACAUGCAAGUCGAGCGGAUGAAAGGAGCUUGCUCCUCGAUUCAGCGGCGGACGGGUGAGUAAUGCCUAGGAAUCUGCCUAGUAGUGGGGGACAACGUUUCGAAAGGAACGCUAAUACCGCAUACGUCCUACGGGAGAAAGGGGGGGAUCUUCGGACCUCACGCUAUUAGAUGAGCCAGGGUCGGAUUAGCUAGUUGGUAGGGUAACGGCCUACCAAGGCGACGAUCCGUAACUGGUCUGAGAGGAUGAUCAGUCACACUGGAACUGAGACACGGUCCAGACUCCUACGGGAGGCAGCAGUGGGGAAUAUUGGACAAUGGGCGAAAGCCUGAUCCAGCCAUGCCGCGUGUGUGAAGAAGGCCUUCGGGUCGUAAAGCACUUUAAGUUGGGAGGAAGGGCUUACAGCGAAUACCUGUGAGUUUUGACGUUACCGACAGAAUAAGCACCGGCUAACUUCGUGCCAGCCGCCGCGGUAA
This 500-nucleotide ribosomal RNA is filed under the name uncultured bacterium. RNAcentral's name for it is "partial 16S ribosomal RNA". It matches the Rfam family "Bacterial small subunit ribosomal RNA", at positions 30 to 523 of the family's 1533-position model. The record is from RNAcentral.